GUGACUUCCGGUCAUGGUGCUUUCAAUCCCAUGGAUGUUUUGAACGAAACUUCAGACCGUCUUCGGUUCUUUAUUCUAUGGGGCCUAGGUGCCGGUGCUACUGCAACGCAUCUGGAACAAAGCUUCUGCUGACGUUUCUUGUGCCCAUCAAGACCUAGCCUAUCUCUUGCAUUGUUGACAACAAAAAGCCGCAAGGGCUGAUUGCUGCUGGUUGGCUCAGUGCAGAAUCUGGCCUCACAAAUGCGAUGAGCCUAGC
Dermacentor silvarum is the source of this 256-nucleotide long non-coding RNA. RefSeq lists it as uncharacterized. Lineage: Eukaryota; Metazoa; Arthropoda; Arachnida; Ixodida; Ixodidae. The record is from RefSeq and is a predicted model, not a curated record. The transcript is spliced from 3 exons.